UUAUUUUUUAUGUUUUUAUAUGAUUUCAUAUUUAUAAUUUUUCAGUAAAGAUAGCCAAUUCAGUUGUAGGAGAAAGUAAGUUUGUGUUAAAGUGAUUUGAUAGUUGGAAAAGUUAGACCACUGCCCCACUGAACUUGUGGAACAGUAAGAGAAUUUAUAAAUACUAAAAUAAGAAAAAUAAACAAAAGAAAUUAUGUUGCAGAGAUAAUGAUUUUGAAUAAAGUAGCUAUAGGGCCUUAUUUCCUUGCCAAAUAAAACCAAAAAAAAUGAAUAGAGGUGGGAAGAAUAAUAGUAUGUCCUGGAUGCAUUUCAAUGAGAUGAUAUAGAAGACAAUUAAUAUGUGAUGCAACGCACUAAGUUGUUGAACCUCUACAUUAUUAAGUGUAUGGAAAGAAAAUCAGUAACAAGUGUUUGGAAAACUAGAGAAUUGAUUUUGGUCUGAAUUUUCUAAAAUAGGAAGUUAGGAAUUUGAGAGCUAAGAUAUUCGGCACAAGAUAUGAUGUCUGAAGAACUCAGAUGAAAAUUAGCCAAUCUAAUUUGGAUAAAACUAAAGAUGAAUGUGAUGGUCAGUGGUAUGGAGUUGGAGGUCCAGGAAAAUAAUUAACAAAAAGAUGUUCUGUCCUUCUCAUGAUUCUAUGGGGUUUCUCUACUCUUCACUAUAACAUCACAAUGGCUUGUUCUUGCUUCAAGUAUGCCUAUUUUUUAUUUGAAUCAGCUCCUUCAAUCUCACUGGCCUUGAAGUCUGCAAAUUAGAUCCCUUUUUCCAAACACUAAGCCAUAUUUUCCCUACCAUUCAAGAUACACUUGGAAUCGAUCUACUCCAGGAAGUCUCUCCAAACCACGUAUGGGAAAUAUGAUAUCUUAUAUGGAGGAAAACAAUGGCAUGGAUAAUUCAUACAAAUGUUCUCAUUCCAUGGGUUAAGUAUUGCCAUAAGAUAAACCAAUAUCCUUGGGUCUGGUUUGCUUUACCAUCACUUUCCCACCUCAGCUUCCACAUACCUCUGCUUCAGACCAUAUAAUCCUUAUUGCGCCAGUUUGUAUCCUUUUUUCUGAGCAUUCUGGCCUCUGCCUCUCUUGUUUGCUGUUUACCUAGGAGUCUACUUUUUAAAAUCCAGCGAAAGCAAUAUUAAUAUUCACAAGCAGGUGGCAAGUAAAAAGAAUUGAUUGGGGCCAGGAAGUCUUUACUUCCUAGAAGAGGUUUCAUCUUACUAUCUGAUUCAAAGAGAUGUAAUGGAGUUGAAAGAGAGCAUGAGCUUUGACAUACACAGAGCAAGGAGGUCCCAAGAGUUAUUUGCUUUGUUAAUAUUACUUAAGCUGUUUAAUCUUUCCAGCCUCAGUUUCCUCAUCUAGAGUGAUAUCAAGGAUAACUAUAUGGCACAGCUAUUUUAUUUAUUCAUGUAUUUAUCAAUUAAUUUGGGAAUGGAAAUAGCAUGUGUCAUUUAAAUAUUGAAAACAAGAUAUAAAAAUACAAAUGAUUUCUUGUCUUCAAGAGAUAUGUAAUAGAUAUGUAAUGGGAAAUAAAAAAAUCAGAUGUUAGAGUAUUUUAAAGUGGUAUGUUGGCAGUAAGUGCAGGAACAUUGGAGUCGGAAAAAGGGAAAUUACACAUUUUACUUUGGGGGAUAGAGAAAUCAUUCAGGAAAAUCAAGCAGUAUUAAGCAUUGACACUUGAGCUACAGUGGAGGAAGGAUGUAAUUAUUUUAGAUAUUUCUUAAUAUAUUCAUUCACUCAUUUCUUUAUUCCUUCAGCAAAUAUUUAUUGUGUGCCCAGUACAUGGUAGUGAAAGUAGGGAUGAAUACAAAAGAGAUGGUUGUUUCUAAGACAUGCGUAUUUCUUCUGUUAUCACAGUGCUUAUAGUCAAUGUGAAAGAGAGGCAGCUAUGUUAAGAGAAGUGCUCUUAAUAGAUCUCCAUUUAACUGACUUGGCAAAUUAACCAAUAUUAUCAAUUUCCUUUGCAAAACACUCUGAUUAAUAUUCAGGGCUCAGUGAAAGCUCACAGCCAGUAGAUGACGCUCCAGUAAGCCUACACAUUUUUCUCAUUGGUGCCGUUGCAUGCUUGCCAAGAAUUAGUUGUGUUUAUUCCCAAACCAUUGCCAGUUGACUUCGUAUUAUAACCAUGUAAUAAAAAUAACAUUGCUUCCAUAAUUCAAUGAAAUAGAGUAUAAAAUGAGAGAGUUGCUUCUUUGAAAAUUAACUUGAAUUUUUUGGAAAGACUCAAUAAAGGAGAAUUGCUAAAAACUUUCCUAUGAAAUUAGGUGGAGGAAAUACAAUGAGCAAAGACUCAGAAAAAAAAAACACUUAAUAAUCCAGAAAGUUCAUAUUUAGAUUGGCUUGCAAAUGUGUUUUUUUAGUUUAAAGAUAGUGAAAUUAGAAAUUAUGGAUGGUACACUAUAGUAAAGAAAGAUUGUAUGGAUCUUCAGUCAAUGGACCUGUUUCCAAAUUAAAGGCUAUAUCCUUAAAUUAAAAAAUAGGGGAAUGAAUGUAUAACUGUAUUAUAUUAAAAUAAAUGUUUAAGAAAUGUAAAUAUCUUAUGCUUCUUAGAUUUGAGUCUAUUUUAAUAUUAGCAAUCAUAUGAGAUAAGAGGGCUUCUAGUAAAGAAAUAUAUGUUAUGGUAUGGAAAGUAUUAAGACCUUGGAAAUCUACAGUGGAGUAUACGAUCAAUCCUAGAGAAUAGGAACUCUGAAAUAGAUUGAGCCAGGCAUAGAAAAAGGGGUAGGGACAAGAGAGCAUUCAAUGUGAGCAAAACAGAGACAAAAAGAGACACAAGAGGCCAGGCGCGGUGGCUCACGCUGUAAUCCCAGCACUUUGGGAGGCCGAGGCGGGCAGAUCACGAGGUCAGGAAAUCGAGACCAUCCUGGCUAACACGGUGAAGCCUCGACUCUACUAAAAAUACAAAAAAAUUAGCCGGGCGUCGUGGCUCAUGCCUGUAGCCCCAGCUACUCGGGAGGCUGAAGCAGGAGAAUGGCGUGAACCUGGGAGGCGGAGCUUGCAGUGAGCCGAGAUUGCGCCACUGCACUCCAGCCUGGGCAACAGAGCAAGACGCCAUCUCAAAAAGAAAAAAAAAAAAAAGAGAGAGACACAAGAGGUCCAGAUACAAGCUGGACCAUAUAGUGUGAAAGUACACAUGGUACAUCAUCUGGGCUGGUAGUGGGGGCCAGAACUAGAUCUUAGAAAGCCUUAAAAGUGAUAAUCAAAGUUCAAGAUAAUUGAACUUUAUCUUGAAGGGUUUUAAGUUAGGGGGUUAAAUUAUCAGAUUUGAAGAAAAAUAGAUGAGCCUAGAGCAGGAUGGGUUCAUGUGGGACAACAUUGGAGCCAAGUGAUUAAUUAAUUUAGGUAAGAGAUGAUGGCAGUCUGGGGUAAGAUGGCUGCAAUGGAUUGUCAUUAUGUGAUGAAUUUUAGAGAUAUUUGUGAGAUAUAAUCAACAAGAUAUGGUAACUAGUUGUAGGGGUCAAAAAUAGUGGGAGAGGUCAAAUAUAUCUCCUCAAUUCUCACUGAAGAAAUUGGGUGAGUGGUGUCAUUUAUACAGGUGUGCAACUUUAAUGAAAAAGAGGUUGACUAGGGAGGGUUGGAGGAUGAGGAAUUCCCUUCUGAAAACACUAUGUUUAUAUCAUGCACAAGACCCUUAAGUUGGAAAGUCUUAUGAGCAAUUGUAUAUAUAGGGUUCAGGAAAGAGGUAAGCUUAGAAAUAGAGGAUUAUUUGGCACUUGCACAUAGAUAGUAAUUGGAACCGUAAAGAGUAGUGUGGAUUUCCCAAAGAGAGUUUGUAGAACGUAAAGAGAAUUGAAGAAAAGAAAACUGCUCAGGAAAGAGUCCUGGGGGCAGAAUAUUGAACUAUAAAUAGAAGAAAAAUCGCCAGAAAAGGAGAUUAAUAAAGGAGAAGCCAAAGAAUUAGGAGGAAAGGAAGUGCUCAACGUGUUCAUUGCUACUAAGUGAAAAAUGCCCAAUGGAUUUAGGAGUAUAUAGGUCGUGGGUGCCCAUAUUUGAGGGUACAUUCAGGGGAGGGUCUGGAGCUUAAGGCAGACUCUUGUGGAGUGAGGAGAGACAGGAAAGGGAGAAAUGGGAGGUGGAAAAUACCAUUAUUUUGUUGUUUCAAGAGACGUAUGUCUGGUGGAGUAUAUAAAAAGGAAAGCCUGAAAAAGCUGAAAAGGAUAGGUCUAAAAGAUCUUGAACGCCAAGCUAAUGGGAGUUGUAUUUUGUCUCAUAGAAAAUUCAGGGCACAGGGUAAAGUCUAUAUAAUAGAAACCACUUACUAUGACAAUAGUGUAGGGAAUGGAAUUAGUGUGGGGUGAGAGGGUUAGUAAAGGAAGUUAGCUAAGGCAAAGCUCGCUCACCCAUGGUAUACUGGCACACAGGUAUGCUGCAAGCAGUUUGCUACUAGAAAUGCAGUACUCACAUUUGCACAAGACAAAAAAACUGGAGUGGAUUCAAGUUUCCCUCUUUGCUAAUUCUACUCUUACUUUUUUCCCCAGUAUAUUUUAGUAUAUUUCCUAUUGGAAUGAGAAACAAGGGGGUGGAGUUAUAGCCUAAACUUCUAGAAUUGUACUUAACAUGGAGUAUGCCUGACGGAGCAUCAUGCAUGUGAACUUCAUCCAUUCUGUAUGUUGACAUCAGGAAUAAAAAAGAGGUUGAGAACCACUGAAUUAGAGAAAAUUGCAACCCUUAAAGCAGAGAUGACAAGAUCUUAAUUAGGCAUUAUCAGCAGGGAAAGUAAAGAGAGAAAGAUUAUUGGAGUGAGGUUACAGAGUUAGAAACAAUAGGACUCAGAAGCUGAUUGGAUGUGAGAGGUGAAACAUCACUGCCAAAAUAGCAAUACUCUUUAUUGAAUGCUUUUAAUAUGUCAAGCACUCCCAAAAGAACAUACACAGUAUAACAUACAUCAUCCCAUUUCAAUUUCCCAACAGUGUUGCAAAGUAGGUAUUUUUAUUCUGAUUUUAUAGAUAACAAAAAUAAAGUUUAGAGAGUUUGAGCAACUUUCUCAAGGCCAUCCAGAUUUUAAGUGGCAUACCUUGGGUUCAAACCCAGGGUUGUUAGAUUCAAAACCUUUGUUAUCAUCAUUACUCAAAUCUAAAAUGACUCUCUUAUUAGGUGUCUGGCUGUAUGAUGGUAAAAUCAAAUUCAGAUGAUAAAUCCAGAUGAAGAUCAGGUGUAGGAGAAAAGUGGCCAGUUCAAUUUUAAACAUAUUCGGUUUUUGAAAGCCUGGAGAAUAUCCCUGGUGAAGACGUCUAAUAGACAGUUACAUAUAUAAGUCUAGAGUUAACGGAGAUGUCUGGAAGGGGAUAAAGAUUUAUGAGGCAUUAGCAUUUAAAUUGUGGUGAAAGUCAUGGGAAUGGAUGAGAUUUCCCAGGGAGAUUGCAACAUGAGGCGAGGAUAAAGUGGAGAGCGAAGAAACACCAAAAUGUAAAAGGAGGUCAGAGGGAAGUAUCAGCGAGGGAGUCAGGGGAGGAAUGUUAAUACAAGUUAGAGGGAAGUAGCCAAGGGCGAUAUCACACUGAAGCAGUAAAGAACAGCAAGAGAAAGGAGUGAUCAGUCAUCCCAUGCUAUGGAGUGGUCAUGAAAGAUGAAGACUGAAAAAAUUUCAGUAGAUUCAGAGAAUUGUGAGUGAGAAAUACAAGUUGAAACAGUGUGAGAUUUAAUUUUAAUAAUGCACAGUAUCAUCUAAGGUCUGUCAAUCUAAGGUGCAUUUUCAUUCUAAGUGUUUUUCUAAGGAAACAAUAAGAAAUUAAGACAUUCAUUGCAGCAUUGUUUCUGAUAGCAACCAUAUCACAGUAGUUAAGGGCACCUACUCUAGAGCCAGCCUGAGUUGAAACCUCAGUUCUGCUACUUAUUAGCUCUGUGAACUUGGGCAAGUUACUUUUCUGUGCCUUAGUUCCUUUAUCUGUAAAAUAGGGACAGUAAGAGGAUUACUACUAUUAAUAAGGUUGUUGCAGCCUGGUUGGUUUUUUAUUGUUACAUAAUAAAAAAUCAGGGCAAUUGGGGUAGCCAUCACCUCAAACGCUAAUUAUUUCUUUGUGUUUGGAACAUUCCAAAUCUUCUCUUCUAGCUAUUUUGAAAUAUACAAUAAAUUAUUGUUAAUUAUAUAUAGCCUAUUGUGCUAUCAAACACUAGAACUUAAUGCUUCUAUCUAACUGUAUCUUUGUACCCAUUAACCAACCUCUCUUCAUCCCCCACUCAGUUGUUCCCAGCCUCUAGGAACUAUGAAUCUACUCUCUACCUCCCUGAGAUAAACCUUCUUAGCUCCCACAUAUGAGUGAAAACAUGCAAUAUUUGUCUUUCUGUGCCUGGCUUAUUUCACUUAACAUAAUGACUUCCAGUACCAUCCAUGUUGCUUCAAAUGAUAUGACAUUUUUACAGCCAAAUAGUAUUUCAUUGUGUCUAUAUAAAACAUAUUUUGUUUAUUCAUUCAUCUAUUGAUAGACACUAAGUUUGGUGCCAUAUAUUGGCUAUUGUGAAUAGUGCCACAAUAAACAUGGAGGUGCAGCUAUUUCUCUGAUAUACUGAUUUCCUUUCUUUUGGAGAAUACCCAGUAGUGGAGUUUCUGGAUUGUAUGGCAGUUCUAUUUUUAGUUUUCUUAAGGAACCUCCAUACUAUUCUUCAUAAUGGCUGUACUAAUUGACAUUCCGACCAACAGUGUUCAAGAGCUUCCUUUUCUGCACAUCCCCACCAGCAUUUGUUGUGCAAUCUGUUAGCCUACAAUACUUAUUUGUCCUGAUUGGUUUUUACAGUAAUUAAAUGUGUAAAUACCAUAAAGUGUUCAUUACAGUGCCUAGAACCUAGUAAGAGUGAAUUCUUUGUUAAAUGAAUAGAGAUAAAAGUAAUCAAAAUGCUCAAUGGUGAGGUUGAUUAAAAUAAAUUACAUAUCCAUGCACUGGGAUAUAAUGCAACUGUGAAAAAUUAUGUAGUUAACUAUUUAACAAUAUGGAAAGAUACCAAUGGACUAUUAAUUAGAAAAAAGUUAUAAAUCAUAUGAGUAGAAUGAUUCCAUAUGUGAAUAAACAAUAUGUACCUAUGUGUUAGAUAUGUAUGAUGAUUUUUAGAAAGAGUUGUACCAAGAUGCUUAUAUGUAUAGACGGUUGGAUUAUGAGUUUUUUAAUUUUAAAUUUUUACACAUUUAAAAAUUACAUAGAAAAGAUUAUUUUUAUGAUAAACAUUUUUUAACAUCCUGGAGGUCAGGAUAUUGAAUAGCAAGUGAUAAUUAUUCUUUGGCAAAACUUUUCUGUGGAAGAAAGUGGACUGAAAGCAUAGGAGCUACAGCAUAUUUAUAACCAAUGGAGUAGCACACUGUGUAAAAUGCUGUGCAGAGUCCUGCUACCUGGGAGGCUUCUAAUAAACGGGGGUUGCUAUUAUUAUUAUUAUUACCACUAAAAUGCCUUCAGGUCUCGUAGACUUUCAGCACCAGCACAACUCUACUGAGUAGCCAAGGAGCGGGAAAUAAGAGAAGAAACUUUAAAAAAGGAGAGCGUUCUAGAAAGAGAAUUCUUCUUGAGAACAUUCUGGACAGUGCUCCUGGACAGUGUGCUGGUGCUGAAAGUCUAUGAGAACUGAAGACAUUUUAAUGACAAUAAUAAUAAUAGCAACCCUCGUUUAUCAGAAGCUUCCCAGGUAGCAGGACUCUGUACAGCAUUUGACAUGUCCUGCUUCUCGAUUGGUUAUAAAUGAGCUGUAGCUUCUAUGCUUUCAGUCCAUUUCCUUUCACAGACAAGUUUUACCAAAGAAUAAUUAUCACUUGCUAUUUCUAUAUCCUCACCUUUAGGAUGUUAAAAAAAAUUAUCAUAAAAACAAUCUUUUCUAUAUAUAUGUGUGUGUGUGUGUGUGUGUGUGUGUGUGUGUGUGUGUAUGUGUAUAUAUAUAUAUUUUUUAAAUGUGUGAAAGUUUUAAAGUAAAAUUUAAAAAAAACUCAUAAUCCAGCUGGCUGUGGUGGCUCAUGCCUGUAAUCCCAGCACUUCAGGAGGCUGAGGUGAGUGGAUCACUUGAGGUCAGGAGUUUGAGACCAGCCUGGCCAACAUGGCAAAAACCCAUCUCAACUAAAAAUACAGAAAUUAGCCGGGCAUGGUGGCGGGGGCCUGUAAUCCCAGCUACUCAGGAGGCUGAGGCUGAGGAGAAUCACUUGAACCCAGGAGGCGGAGGUUGCAAUGAGCCUAGAUCAUGCCACUGCACUCCAGACUGGGCAAUAGAGUGAGAGUCUGUCUCAAAAAAAAAAAAAAAAAGAAAAAAAAUCCCCUCAUAAUCCAACCAUUUACAUAUAAGCAUAUUGGUAUGUAUCUUUCUAAAAAUUAUCAUACAUAUCUAAUACAUAGGUACAUAUUGUUUAUUCACAUAUGGAAUCAUUCUACUCAUAUGAUUUAUAACUUUUUUCUAAUUAAUAAUCUGUCAUUGUCUUUCCAUGUUAUUAAAUAGUUAACUACAUAAUUUUCACAGUUGCAUAGUAUCCCAGUGCAUGGAUAUAUAAUUUAUUUUAAUCAAUCUCACCAAUGAGCAUUUUGAUUAUUCUUAUCUGUAUUCAUUUAACAAACACUCAAUUCACUCUUCCUAUGUGCCAGGCACUGUAAUGAACACAUUCUAGACAUUGCUCCUGGAGGUCAGGCCAGGUCCAGAGCUAAUUAUAUAUAGGGACUGCCUCAGGACCACAGAGAAGAUAAGACUCAAGGUACCAGACAAUCUAUACAGUGGCCAAGAUAAUAAGAAAAAAUAUAUUGUUUCAAGAUGCUUUCUUCCCACCUGUUAUUUUUACAAAUUUGUUUUGGUAUCUAAUCAUUUGGGCUAAAAAUGCCCUGGUUUAUUUCUCAUAGAGGCUAUAAACCCCUAAAGGUUUAUGAACUAUAUUAAUCCUAUAAUGCUUCCUCCUCUGCUAAUCAUCUUGUGUAUUCAACAAACUCUACUUGAACAACUAAGGUCAUGAGCAACAUAAACCUACCAUGAUUAAGAAUCAUUUCAAAUAGCUACAAAUAAUUUUAUAGGCUUAUUUUUUUAAAAAGAUAACCCGUUUCAUUUUGAAAUUCUGAUUUCUUGGUUCUAUUAUGGACUAAAAUUCUAAGGGUAAAAGCAAAUAAAAUCCCAGGGAAACCUGCUGUUUUUACAGUCAUGGCCAUAAUCAGAACAAAUUUUGGUGAACUUAGGACUUUACAAAUUUUAAUAAUUAUAUUGUAAAACAUAAUUCUAAAUCAGUUGUAUCAUCAAAUCAGAGCAGUAAGAAAGUGGAAGCUGCUAUAAUUGUAAUGUAUUUUUAAAAACUUGAAAUGAAAACACAACUUUAAAAAGCAAGUCAGAGUAUAUCGUGCAUAUGCUUCAGAAUAAAGAUAAACACACCAUUUAAAGAGCUGCUUAAAUUAAAAUGUCAUUUCUUUCAAGUUCUCUGUUAAUAGCCCAUCCAGUUAGCUAUUGUCCUGAAAUUUUAGACUUAGGCAAUUAGCCUGUUCAGGUCACCUAAACUUUCUAGAUAUUUAAGUCUCCAUAUUUGAAAGAAACACAGCCAUGUUAUCUAAAUAGACAAGUCUAGCAAUUUCAAAGUUCAGGUAGACAUAGAACAUAGAAGAGGGAAUUAUCACUACAUUAGUGGUUUGCCACUACUCCAUAACUCAGCCCCUGACUUCCCUGUCCCCUUCCUUCAGCCCCGACACCCCUCCACCCCAUCCUAGUCUAUAGACAAACAAGCUCUCCAAUCUAAUUCUUAUCAAGAUAGAAACAAGGCCAGACCUGCUCUUCUAGAUAAAAUGCCUUGGCUUCUAACUGCCUGGCUGCUUAUCUUUCAUCUUGCAGUGUUAACCAUAACCCCUUUCCUGACCUGCUCUACUUCUUGUUUUCAGAUGAGCAGUAAGGACUGGGGGAAAAACAUGCUUAAAUGAACAAGUUCACUCUCUCACAUCCCUCUCCAUUCCCUUUAAAGUCAAUUCAAAAUAUCUUUCCAAAAUUAUCAGAAAUCACAUUGUGUGCAUUACAUGUAACUCGGUAUAUUUCUAAAUCUCUCUUUUCCAACUUUUACUCUUUCUACGCUAUACUGCCACAUAUAUCUUUUCCUAAAAAUUAAAAAUGUUAUGUUUUUUUUUUUUGGUUGUGGGAUUAGGUUUUCUGAGGAAUGGUAGGUUUUGUAAGGGUUUUUUUUUUUCCCCUCCUUUUAUUUUUUCUCAUUUGUUUGCCUAGAUCUGAAUAAGCUGAAUCAUCUUCUCACCUAAGCUGUUUGGUUUGGAUACCCGAAUUUUUUUGCUUUCAUCCAAACAAAGUAUUGCACUUGUCUUUCCUGAGCAGGUGAAAGUUAAUGCAAUAUAGACCUUGAGCAGUCAGGCAAUGUAACUGCUAUGUUUGGACUAGCUUGCUGUGUGAGGUUAGCCUUCCUUGACCCUUGUUCCUUAUACAUGAAGUGGGAAAAAGAAAAAUAAGCUAGGUUCCUUCUGUAUGUGAGAAUCCUAGGAAACUCUAUUGUCCUAUAUUUUGAAGCAGCUAUUAAGUUGAAUGGUGUGAGAUUACACAGGGUGCUUGCUGGUGUUGUAAACACCACGAUCUGGUUUAUGACACCUUUAUCCCACAAACACUCUUGCACUUGAACCUGCAUGUCCUUGAAAAUAUGGGAGUCUUUUCAAAAGAGUUUGAGCUUCUUGUAAGAAAACCAUUCUACUAAUAUAAGGUGUAACUUUUACUUUUUAGCAUUUAAAACUAAGUCUACAUUACACAUCAGAAAAUGAUCUGAUAGAUACCCUGUUUUGAUUCGGGUCUUCCAUUUUAUUUUCUUAGCCUAAAAAAGAUCGAAUCCAGAAUUAUACGGCUUCUUUUCAUUUUUCAUUUUCUUCUUGCAAAUUAGAUUUCUAAUUGACCCUUAGAGACCAAUUGCUUAACUGUCAAAAUAUUAUCAAUAUUGGGAAAAUAGUGUCACUGAAUUUAAUUUAUAAAUACAUAUGACAUGCUUAACUGUGUAUGAGGGAUUUCCUUAGAUACUAAUGGGUGAAAAAUAAAUACCUGCCUUUAAAGAAAUGAGUUCUUUGCCAGAAUAAUGAACUGUGUAAUAUUUUACCGUUAACAUUGACAUUCUCAUAAUAUUAAUGAUUCCAUUUUAAGGAUACUACAUUCUCAAAAAGCAGAACAUACAUUUCUUAGUUUUAUGUCACCCAGUGUCCAUAAACAAGGUUCUAAAGUUUAUUUUAUUAUCAAAACAAUUGAUCUUCAAAUAUUACUUUCCUUAAAGGAGAUUUAUAUUUAAAAGCAAAUAUGAUGUUUCAUUUCUUAUCUUUUCUCCAAAAGAUCAUAGGCAAGUAAAUCUUUAAAGCUUGUUUCGUUUGUGAUAAAUGCAUCUUUCCCGUGACUCUGUUAGGGCUGGGAACUCACAGGGGUAAUUGAACUUGUUGCACUUGUAGUUGAAGGAGGGGGAUUUCUAAUAAUCUGUCAUUUCUGAAAAUUCUUAGUUGCCUAUGGUCACAGGAAUUUGUCCCCAUUUUUAUAGGACACUAUUAAAACUGGUCUACUUGUGUUAGAGACAUGGAGGGAAUUCAUUUUCACUGGAUCUUGUCUUGGUUAGGUAUUUAGGUACUGUUUGUUUGGUUUGUUAGGUUUGUCUUUAACCUAUAGUAGAUCCUUAUAUGACUAUAAAGCAAGGGUUAGGUUUAAAUAAAUAAAAUUAUUCAGUGUCAAAUGAUGGAGUAUCUUUCAAGUUCAGUGAAAAUGUGGAAAGUACAGUUUAAAUUACAGCAGUGGGAUUGGGAAACAAAUUAUAUGAUAGUACAUAGAUUUUAUAGCCUUUCUAAAAAGGCUUUAAAUAAAUGUUAUUUAAAAUUCUCUUCUACUUAGAAAAUGUUAAAACUAGUCAGAUUAAUGUGCAAAUGAGAGUGAAAGAAAAAAUCACAGACUAGAGCAAAUUACAAAGAGGGAGGGAGGAGUAAACCUAACUAGAAUGGAAAACUUUCGGGCUGACUUGAGCAUAAUUUGCUUUAGGAAGAUAAAUCUAAGGAUUGCCUUGGGUCUGGGAAAGGAAAGUCAGGAAGUGUCUGGAAGUAGGAAGGCCAAUUGGGCUUUCAGUCAGCCAUUCACACAUGAGAAAAUGGUAGUACGAAUUUAGUAACAGUGACAAUGGGAGAAUGGAGAAAACAUACAUGAAACAUGUUUUGAAUGAAAAAUAAAAGGCCAGGAUAUAGUGAUGUAUUGGAUCAGAAAAAGAAAGAAAGAGCUAAAUCAAAGAUGAGGUUUCAAGUCUGGGCGACAGAAAAACGGUGGUGGGGCUGACAUCAUGAAGUUAGGAGGGAAAGUUGAUGGGAAGUGUCAGAAGAGAAUUAUAUAAAAGUUCAGGGGUUGAAGAAAUGAGAUUUCUGAUAGCUGUCUGUAAAUUAGUGGAGCCACAGGCCUGGAACUCAAAGGAGAAGCUGGGGCUAGCAGUUCUGCUUUUUUUUUUUUUUUACAGCCUUUAUCAUAAAAUUGUUUAUGAAAAUUGUAGGAGUUUCCAGAGUUCACUAAGGCCAGUCAUGUUUAUAGAGAAAAGCUCAAGUCAACAAUAGUACCUACAGUAAUAACCACAGUUGGGGGAUUUAUAAAGGAAGGGAAAGGAAAGGAAAGUUGGAGGGCUACCACAGCUUAAUUUCAAGACUUAUUGGAAAGCUACAGUCAUGAAGACAGCAUGAUAUCGGUGUAAUAUCACCUAUAUUACACCUAUAUUGCAACUGAUUUUUGACAGAGUUGCAAGGGCAAUUCAAUGGAGAAAGGACAGUCUUUUCAACAAAGGAUGCUGGAAUAAUUGGAUAUACAUAUGUCAUAAAAUGAAUGCUGAUUCAUAUCUCAUACCAUGUAUAAAAAUUAACUAUUAAUGGUUCACAGACCUAACUACAAAACCUAAAACUAAAAUUUCUAAAAGGAAACAUAAUUUUUUACUCUUGAAUUAGGUAGAAAUUUCUUAGAUAUAACACCAAGAACAUGAUCAAAGAAGAAAAUAAGUAAGAUUUCAUCAAAAUUAAAAACAUUUUUCUGAAAGAUAUUGUUAAGAAGAAAGUCAAAAACUGGAAGAAAAAUAUUUGAAAAUCAUAUUUCUGAUAAAGGGACUUGCCUCCAGAAUAAAUAAAGUACUUUCAAACUCAGUGUAAGAAAACAAAUAAUCCAAUUAAAAAAAAACUGGCAAAAACUUUGAAGACACUUUGCCAGGGAAGUAAUAUACAUGACAAAUUAACACAUGAAAAGAUGGUCAACAUCACGAGUUAUUAGAGAAAUACAAAUUAAAACCACAGUGAGAUAUCACUACACAUAUAUUAGAAUGGCUAAACUUAAAAUACUGACCAUACAAAGCAUUAGUAAGGAUAUGAAGAAACUGAAACUCUCAUACAUUUGCUGGUGGGAAUGUAAAAUGUACACCACUUUGGAAAUGUUUGUCAAUUUUUUAAAAGAUAUACUACCAUAUGAUCUAUGCAUUCCACCCAAUAGAAAUGAAAGCAUUUGUUCAAUAGAAAAUUUGCACACAAAUGUUCAUAGAAACUUUAUAUGCAAUAACCCUAAACUGGAAAUAACAUAAAUUUCCAUUAAGAGGUAGACAGAAUUGAAAGCCUGGACAAAUUGUAUAGGAUAUAAUGAAUUCAAAUUCAGCAAUAAAAGGAAGAAACUAUUGAUACAGGAAAUAGCAUGAUGAAUCCCCAAAUUAUUAUGCUGAGUGAAAAAACCGAGACCAAAGAAGAGUGAAUACUGUGUCACUUCAUUUACAAAACUUCUAGAAAAUGAAAACUAAUCUAUAGUGACAAACCAGAUUAAUGAUUGCUUAGGGAUGAAAGCAGGGGAUUGGGGAGAGGGAGGAGAGAGUGAUUACAAGGAGUCAUGAGGAAACCUUUGGGGGUGAUGGAUAUGUUCCCUAUCUUGACUGUAGUCAUGGUUUCAUGGGUGUGUAAAUAUAUCAAAACACCAAAUUGUAUACUUUAAGUACAUUCGAUUUAUUAUAUGUUAACUACUUCUCAAUAAAUCUGUUAAAAAAUUAAACACAUUAAACCACCCCUCAAGAGAAUCCCUAAAAUAAAAAUUUAAAGAGGGGGAAAAAAGGAAGGGAAGCUACUGAAAGUUGUAAGAAGAGACAAAAAGUUACCAAUAAUGAAGCCAGUGUUUCAAGGAGUGUGCAGUUAAAAUAACAUGACACACAGAUAUCAAAACUGGCAACUGAGAGAAGUCCAAGGUCCUUGGCAAAGAGAAAGCCACUGACCAUCCGUGGAAGUGUAGUAGGGUGACAGCCAGAAUGUCAGAGGCUGAAGGGAAGCUAUGUGAAACAGAGAGGAUGGCAGUGAGCUUAGACCACUUGUUUAAGCAGCUCAGAAAUGAAAAUGAGAGAAGUAAGACAGUAGCUAGAGGGGACAGACAAGUAAACUAAAGCUUUUUGGUGAAGUUUGAAAGCAUAAAAAAAGUAAAAGAGGAAUGAAAAAGAAACUGAAGAUUCCAGAGAUGAAGGUAAAACAUGUAGGAACAAGAUUCUUGAGGAAUUGGAAGUGAUGGGAUCUAAGGCACAGGUGCCAGAGUGAGCCUUGGAAAGGAGAAAUCUGUAAUUGUUAACUCCUGACAGUCCUCCCAAAAGGAAGCCUUACAGAGCCCUUGCAUGGAUUAUUUUAAACACUGAGACAAAAAUAAUAAUAAUUUUUUUGACGGCAGACUUCAUGGAAAACCUGGAUAAUCCGACAUUCUGACAUUUCUUAAAACUGAUCUCUGACAAAAGAACACAUAUUAAUCAUCACGUCUAACCCCCCAAAUGUGAUUUUUCCCUGCUGUAAUCUGCUGACCACAGACCAUAGGUCUUUGUCCCAAGCCCAGUGCACAAUAGCACUUCUGCUUUGCUGAUUGCAGUUUCUUGCUGUUUCAGGAAGAUUACUCUGAGUCAGACAUUUCACAAGGAAAAGAGGGCAGGAGAAGAGUCAGGGAUAAGCUGUGGGUUUAUGUGUACAAGGUAAUGAGAGACAUCUCCAUGGAGAAACAAAACAACCAUAACUGGAAGGCACUGCUAAGGCUUACAAAAUAAUGAAAAGGGUAUGAAGUUUGGAAUUAGACUUGAUCUUAAGUCCAGCCUCCCCUUCCUACGUAUGCUAUGCCCAUUCAUCUCCUUGCUUCGUCCAUGCACUGGGUAUACUGUUUACCUCACAUGGUUGUUCAAAGAAUUAAAUAACCUCAUGGAUUUAAGUAUCUGUUAGAACAUAGGCAAGGAAUAUAGGGUAGCUAUACUUAUUAUUUUAAUGUGAAUAUAUAGAUGUUCUUCAUCCAUAAAAAUACCCCCAAGGUGUUGUAAUUCCAUGAUUGUGUACCGUGUAUGUUCAAUUAAUGCCUGUUAACAUUUCAGUGAUUAAUCUAGCAGUCGUUUUUGUACAACAUUGGCAAACUGACUAAAGGUCAGAUAACACAUCAGCACGCAAGGUUGAAGUGAAAAUGCAAACAAUUGGCCUUUCUCCACAUCAGCAUAUUGCUUUCUCUUUGGUGCCUACUGGGACUUAAUACCACCAUUCUCCCUUCUUGUCACCAGUGAAGGCCCACAAUGAUGGGUCAGUAACUGAGAGGGGCCCUGUGACCCUAGAAGAUGAAUCCUCAAGGAAGAAUCUCCAGUGGAAUCCCUGAAGUGCAGGAUAUUUUGUAAGGCCAUAAAAUAGGGCUGAUCUUCCAGAAUAUGAUUAUACUUUUACAUUUCUGAAUAUAAAUCCUUAUCAAGAAGUGAAAUAAAGUAACUCAACUAUUUUCUGAAAUCAAAGAGAACAUGUGUUUUAAGUAAAUUAAUCCUUUAAAAUGCAUACCCCGUAGUACCAUGAGUCAAAUUUAAUUAUAGUAUUAGGCCCACUGCUGAAUUAUUAUGGUUUUUCUGAUACAUUUAAACUGAGGCUUUUUAGACCAACUUGUAAUAUAUUUCAGGCAUCCUCUGUCUAGCAAUUUAAAGGAUCUAGAAUUUGUGGGUUAUAUAUGCUGUUCAUUUAUCAAGGCAAAACAGAAAUUUCUUGAUCAGUUCUUAGAAUGAAUGCAUAAACUCAGUAAUAAGAUCUAGUUAUCACGACUGGAAAUUCAAAUAUGUAGUAUGAACAACAUAUCCCGAUGACCCUAAUCAUUAGUGAUUUGAUGGUAGGUAGGUCAGCUUGUCUCAAGCUUUACACUACAAUCAAGAAUUAGUUCAAGUGCAAAAAUGGAAUGUGGUCUUAGUUAUCAGGAUACAUUUGCUAAAGAUAGCACACUUCUCGCCCAUCUGAUCCUCCUGGUGGCAGUUCACUGCAUACUGAGUCCUAUGACUUAAGAGCUAUAAAGGGUCUGGCAUGAGUUUUUUUCCUGCUUUAUAUCAUGGCUGGAAUUCGUUGAUAACCCAAUCCUUGGUUAUGGUUUGGCUCUAAGCACUACUAAAUUAAUUCAUAUAUUAAGUCUGAAGAAUCUGCACAGAUUUUUUUUUCAUUUCCUAGGUCUUUGGAGAGUAUAUGAUUAGGCAGAAUAUCAUUGAAGCAAAUAUUUUCUUUGAGUUAAAAGAGGGAGAAGCAUGUACCUGAGUCAAAACCUACAAAAACUGUCCAAACUUGAACUAAGCUAAUAAUGCUAAGUUAACAUUGUAAAGUUAAUAUUGUAAAGUUAAUUUGGCACAUGUUUAAUGAUACACAUUAUUGUGCUACAUGGUAAUUAGGCAUAAAUGGUAAGCAACUAAUAUAUAUGACUGAAAUUAGAAGUUUUACACAGCCAAACCAAGUUCAAAUUGAUCAUUUCUUCUUGCUUUGUUAAUUUUCCAUUUUCUAUAGACAGCAUUAGUGUUGACAGCUUCUCUGAUGCCUUGCCUUCGGAAGCUCAGCAGAAAAUUAUGGUACUGUUUUAAAAAUGUACUUGAAAUCACUCAUUCGUUACAGGUUUGUGCAGUUUAACCAACCCACGCUGACUGCUUACUUAGAAAGUUCUAAAGGGAUGCUGAAUUAAGUUGCUAUGGAAUGUAGAUCUAUGCUCCACUCUUCCCCAUGCUGCUCUGUAGCCUGAGUGGCUAAAAUAUUAAUAUAUGGACCACAUACCAUACAUAGAGUUUCCUCACUGUCUGACUUCCAAGCAGGCAGAGAAGGGAGUGCAGAGAGUGGGGGAUAUGCAUUCCUCAGGCUUCAUUCUUUUGGGGUCUCAAGAGGUUCUGCUCUAUCCAAGUACCCUUCCUGUCUGUGAGUUCCAGUAACUACCCUGUCCCCCAUUGCUCCUUCAGGCCUAAGGGCUAUGUAGAAACCUCCUUUCACACUGGUACCCUGCACUGGCCUGAAGUUUCCUUCUACUCAGCUUGUAAAAGGGACAUUCAACUUUUCUCACAGUUUUCUAAUGUGAAUAUGCUGUUUGCUUCCUGCUUGGACCCUGACUGAUUCAAAAGCGUUAUUUCCAACUUUCGGUUGAAGUCCAUCCUGCUUCUCUUUUUGACAGGCAACAAUUUUUCUUGGAAAGAACAUCAUGGUGAUAGAAUUUUAAUCUGAAUAUAAAUUCCAUAUCUGCAUUCCUUGGGCAGGUUGGCUCCAGUACGUUUCAAGUGCCAGCAACUGAAGGUGAACUCUGGUUGCUUCCAGGCCUCCCUUGCAUGAUUUGGGGUUAGAAUUGUCCAAAUACCAUGAGUAAUAUGGAAGUUCUCUGAAGGGUAAGUUCAUGCUCUGAUUUCACAUUUACUUUCUGAUAAUUCGACUGGAAACAUAACUGAGAGCCCUUGCUGUGGCAGCUUCCUGGAGAUGGGAGUGAUAUGCAGAGUCACUCUGCUUGGAACUUCAUCAGUUUAUUCCCAAAUCCUGGCAGAAUGAAUUCAACACUUGCUCCGUCAUUGCUGUUGCCAUUUCAUGCUUAAGAAAUAAGACCUAGUUCUUAAAUAGCCACUGUCAACCACUUCUUCGAUGCUUUCUAUUUCAAAUGCUAUGGCUAUGGAAUAUUCAAAUUAUGAAUAUCUAAAAUAUAAGUGAUGUACUAUGCUGUGCUUCUUUUCUGAAAUACACUUUUACAGUUUUGAGUUUAUAGUUCAUAAAUAUCCACUGAUAUUUCUGUACUUUCUGUCUCUUUUGAAGACAGCCUUUAGAUGAGGUUUUAUCCUAUGGGCUUUGGUGAUUAACAGCAAAACAAAUUAUGUUGUUAUAAUACUUAAUAUUUAUCAUAUCCUUUUGAAGAGAUGUUCAAAAUAUGUUAGACAUUUUCUCCUUUAUGUCAAAUGCUUUUAUAUACUACUACCACUGACUUAUUUUCAAAUGGUUUAUUCUCAUUAUUGAAAUACCUAAAUGGUCAUGUAAAAUUAAAAUAAUUUAUCUCAUAAAAUGAAAAUUAUGAAAAUAAAAAGGAUAAAGUCCACUUCUUUCAUUUAAUAUCUUUGGAUUCGUUUAAUAGAGUGCUUAAAUCAGGGGCUCUGGUAAAUUUUACCAUGGCUUUACGUUAUGUCAGUGGACAUUGUGUUUUAAUCCAAGACUAUGAAAAACUAAUUGUAGAUAAACAACAAUUGAAUAAAUUACUAAUUAGCAAAAAAGAUGCCAAAUUGAGAUCACCUAUUAGCAUGAUUUAGAGCUAAUUUUAUGCUUCUUUUUAGCUUUUCCUUGGCAAUAUCUUUUUUUUUUUUUUUUUGAGACAGUCUUGCUCUUGUCGCCCAGGCUGGAAUGCAGUGGCAUGAUCUCAGCUCACUGCAACCUUUGCCUCCCAGGUUCAAGCGAUCCUCCUGCCUCAGCCUCCUGAGUAGCUGGGAUUACAGGUACCCACCACCAUGCCUGGCUAAUUUUUGUAUUUUUAGUAGAGACAGGGUUUCACCAUGUUGGCCAGGCUGGUCUCGAACUCCUGACCUCAUGAUCUGCCUGCCUCAGCCUCCCAAAGUGAUGGAAUUAUAGGCAUGAGCCACCAGGCCUGGCCUGGAAAUAUCCAUAUAUUUUUAUAGUGCUUCUUAAAUCACUCUUUCUGUAUCUAUGAGCACAAAACACCAAAAUAAUAGUUAUAUUGAAGGUGUCUUAUUUCUACAAUUUCCAAGAUAGUGACAUCUGAGAUAAUCAUUUAACAAUUUAAAUGAACUUUAAAUAUACAGACCACAGAUCCAUUUUUCUUGAUUCAAUAAUAUUAAUGACAUUCCAAUACACAAAGUUCCUUAUUAAACAGCAGAAAACUUCCCAGAAGUCUUUCCCCUACUUUUGUGUGAUAUUAAAAAACUUUGGAAAGUGUUCUAUAAGAGUUAAGAUUUAUAUAUAUUAACAAUACAGCCAAGGUGCCCCUUUCUUUUUACUGCAGGUUUCUAGACCUUCAGCUCCUUAGAUAAAGUUUAUGAGAAUAUUAGAAUCUAAUAAUGAUUAGAUUCCACUUAAAAUUCGUUCUCAAUUUAUAACUAGAAGUAAUUAGAAGUCCCUAUCUUAAAUCAUUCUAGAGAUGUACAAAUAAUAUAAUAACAUUUCUAAGGACUUUCUGUUUCAAUAAGAAGAACAGUAUAGAUUAUGUCAUUUUCUUGACAAUUUGUAGUGGUAAAAACCACUUCACUGUGUCUAUUGUUUUUGGUUUUCUGCAGACAUGGCUAUAGAAAGGGUGAUUAGAAUGUACUUUUUAAAAAAAGUUCCUAACCCAAGAAAAAGCUAAAAAGAGCCUUCCAUGGGGAAUAAAGCACUAAAAUUAGUUGUCAAUCAUGCCAAUACCUGCUUACAAUUUGGUGUCUUUUCCACUAAGUUGCAGCUUCUUCAGUUGUUCUUAAUCAGCAUUGGUUUUUCAUUGCAGUACCUCUUGCAUCCAUUUCUCUAUUUUCAGUGUCCCCGAACUAGUCCUCAGGGACUCCAUAACCUAUUAGGUUUGACAUCAAGUAUAGGAUCCUAGGUAAGUCAUAUAGUGACAUAGAAGCUCUGUGAACCCGAGUUUCCUCAUAUGCAAGAUGCAAGAGUGAGGGGAAAAUGAAAUAUCUAAUAUGCCUCUGUCCUCUAAAAUUUCAUUAUACUGCAAUUUCAAUUCAGGCUCCUCUCACAUAGCAGAGCCCUGUCUUUGCUGAUCUUUCUGCCUCCAAUCUGAAUUCUGGCAUUUAAGAUUUAUUCUAGCAGUUUAAAUCACUUUUGACUUUGGGAAAUCUUUUUGUUAACUUCAUUUGCUGUUCAAAGUUAAAACUGUCACCUGACUUUUUCCAGAUAUUCCUGCCUGUUUUCCAAACUUGAGUAAAACCACUGUGAAAGCUGGAGUUAGUCUAAUACUUCUUGGCAGAACCUCAUGCAGACAUGGAGAACAACCACGGCUGUGCCCGGUUCUUCAGGUGGCUGCCAGUCCCCCCGUGCCUGCUCCCUGUCCCUGCCUGCCUUCCCGCUGAUGAUGACUGACGUUCUGGGACGGAGGAGCAGGUGUGUGGUGUCUGCCCUUGGCGUGUUGAAGCAUGACUUGAAAGAGGAAAUUUGAAUUUUUCUUAUUCUUAGAAGAGAGGAGAACCAGAGGGAUGACAGAUUCCCAUAGGAAAUGCACACACCUGUUUUUUUUUUUGUUUUUUUUUUUUUGGAUUUGGUGCUCUAGGCAGUUUCAGAAAACAAACCCCAGAGUGAAACCAUCAACAUGAGAAUGCCUUUGUGCCCUUCAAAAUUAUUCUCAAAAGCUAAAUAGCACUUUCUGACCAGGUGCAGGAGAAUUUUUUCCUCCAUUUUUCUAACUCAGAACUAAUUUUUAUUGCCUUUCUGGGCAAUAAAUCAUUUUUUAAAACCAUGUUUGGAUAAAAUUAUCUAGGAGAUAACAUCAACAAUUUUUAAACACUGAUAUUUUGGUUUAUAACCUUUAAAAACAAAAUCUAAAGUAUUUUGGACAACUAUAUAUUCAAAUAAGAUUUAGAUAUGAAUAUAUAAAUUGUGUUUGUGGAUGAUAAAUAUGUAGCCUACCCAGAAAUUAGCCUUAUUAAUUAAGAGAACUAUUAUCUGAUAUUUUUUCCCAGGUUAGGCCUAGGUACAGUUGUGUGCUGGUAAAUUUGUAACAAAAGGCUCUCCAGGGGAAGAAAAGCCCUGAUUUUCAGUGUUUGCCAAUUUCCACGGUAUUAAAAGUACUCACACCAAGGCCGGUUUUAAGCAGUGCUCCUGAAGUCCCUGAAGACAGAGUUGAAAAGCAUCGUGCACAGUUGACUCUUCUAAGCUAGUCCGAGCUGGCUCCAACACACUACUGCCUAUGUAAGUAUCUAUAAAUAAUACAACUUAGAGGGUUCAUAAGCAUAACAAUGGGAUAUAUUCAGAAUGAUUGAAUACUGACUCAGAAAGAAAACUAUACAAUUUUGCUAUACCAUAAACCAUAAAAGUGUAUCAUAGGAACUGUGACCAAGAAUGUAAUUGUUGACCUCAGAUGGUCCUGAUUCUUCCUUUUCUAGCUUCUGGGAACACUCUUUUUUGUGUCCUGUCCUGGUUAUGCUGAGAGUCUGCAUCUUGCUUCAGAGAAUUUACUAAAAUCACAGGAAGGUCUGAAUUCUCAUUUGUACAUUCGACACCAAGUAUAUGGAGGCUUUCCCAAUUGCUCUGUGUGAAGGACUUGAGUUUUCUUCCAGCAUCAGCUGAAAAUACCAAAUGCCUGUUUGUGUGGAAAUUUCCUGAGACUACAGCUCUUAACUCUCUGACCUGAGUAGUAUAUGUGUGAAUUUUCCAUCAGGUUGUAUUCUCUGCAUUUUUCUCUGCCGUAUGGUGGCAAAUGAUUGUCCUAAUGUAUAAGAUCCCCUUUCAGCCUCCUACCCCCAGCCUCAGUACUGCCCCUGAGCUCGGGAAGAGAACCCCUUGCCCUGGGCUCCUCCUACAUUUGAGAUUUGACUCUAGAUAUCUGUUGGCUAUGUCCCUUUCCACUAAGUCUGUGGACCCCACUUCUAAGACUAUUGUCUGGAUUCUGGAGAGUCCAGAAUUCUCUGCCUGAAAGGCUCUGAACCUAUUGGACCUGUAGUGGCCUCUUUGCCUUAUCCAUUCUCCAAAGGGUAGACUAUGCCAAAUCCCAAGAUUUUGAUUAAGAACAGCUAGCUUGUGUGUUUUUUUGUUUUUGUUUGGUGAGGGUGGUUGUGGAUGGUACUACACCUAAAGGCCACCAUGGAUGUUCACAUAGCACUCAUGCUUGUUGUGCAGACCAUAUGGAGCCAAUAGCAAGAAUGUUAAGGGAUCCAGCAAAAUCAGAAGGCCUGGGGGCAAUGGCUGGGUCUCCCCUACCUGUUGUCACAUUUCAGUGUGGACCUCUGAAGAUUGCAAGCAUCCUGAAUUUGAACCUUCCUUUGUAGUGAAGGAUGGAAUCUAUUUCAUUUAAGAGCUCGUUGGCUUAAUUUAAACUUUUAAAUAUUUAGACAGAUAGUAUAUGAACCUCCAUUUAUACUCUUGCACCAGACUCUGCAAAUAUUGGCCAGGCCUUCCCAAAACACAGUUUUUUUUUUCUUUUCUUUUUUUUUUUUUAGUGUCCUCUUUUCUCUUUCAAGUGUACAGUCUAGGUGAGUAAGGAUUAGGUUUUUAAGAGGGAAAAGUCCCAGAGAAAGUGUCAUAAGCAUGGGAAUGAGUCCACCAAAGACUAGGAAGCUGAUGAUCCAAUGUAAUUGCCAGAGAGAAUGUGGUGGAUCUAACCCUUGGAGCUGCUAAGAGGACAAACACUGAUGCCCAGACCAGCAGCAGGUCUGGCAAUGGCAACUGUCUGGUCUCAUGGACAGGAAUACAGACUGGGUUAAACCGAGAUCUACUUGUUUCUCCUAUUUCCUAACUCUCCCCUACAAGGCCAUCACUUUCCUCCUUGUGUGCUCAAGAAACCUAAUAAAUGUCCUGCAGGAAGAGUUACAGGUGCCUCAGAGUUCUGGACUCUCCUGCAAUUGCUGUGUCACCUUAAUCUUUUCUCUUUGACCAUGGUCAGUUUGUGAUUUGCUGAAGUGAACCAAUGAGCAUUUUAAACCCCAUUGGGUAGGAAGAGUCAUUUUCUGCUUGGACUCUGGACUGGAAACAAACCUUCCCAUUGUGCAGCACUAUGGUCCUUUCUGUGUGCUGUCAUUAAUCUUUUCUCAACUGCCCAGCUGCAGUGACUCUAGGACAUUACAACAUAAUUCCUUCCUACUCAAUAUCAUGUAGGCCACAUAUAUGAACAGACCAUUUCCUGACAUUUUUUUCAGAAAAAUCAGUAUCAGUGUGGGAAUUCAAUGACACUCUAGACUUGUGUCAUUUUUAUGUACUAAACAAAAUGGUACUAUAAAAAUUCAACAUAGUCUCAAGAAGGUCCCAGUUAGUGCACAUGUAAUAACAAUACUCAAGUUUCACUGGCAAUUCUUGCAGGAAGGAUAUUCUGGUAUCUUCUAAUUAGUAAAAAAAAAAAAAUACUAAGAUAAAUAUUUUUGUGAACUUAAUUGGGAAAAUAAAUGAAACUAUCAAUUAGCCAGGAUUUGGGGAGCAUCUGAGAACUAUGAGGUAUGCAGUAAACAUGUGACUGAACUGCCUUUGCAUGGAUGCUAUCAUAAAAUACAUUACCAAUUGGGUAGAGAUAAAUCUAACACACCAAAAGCAAGAGUAGAAAAUAAAAACAAAUCACCCUGCUGCUAUUCCAAGGACCAGAUUUUUUACCACAAUUAGUACUGACUCUCUGAGUGCUAUAGGCUAUUGAGACAAGGAAGAAAUCUAUGAAGGGGAGUUAGGGAAAGCUUCCUGGAAAAAAAAAAAAAAAGGCUUGAGCUGUGCUUUAGGAAGAUGUGCAGUGGAAGGAGGAGAUUUCCAUGGGAUGGGGACAUUAUAAAUAUUUAUAUGCCACAGUCAAAUACCUUGACUAUGCCACAAGGUAACUAGAUUUUUGGGCAGACAUUAUUCUGGGUAUGCCUAUGAGGAUGUUUGGAAGAGAUUAACAUUGUGUAGAAGGAGUAAAACAGGUUGCCCUCCCUAAUGUAAGUGGGUCUCAUCCAAUCAGUUGAAGGUCUGAAUAGAACGGAAAUGCUGACUCUCCCCUAAGAGAGAAUUCUUUGUGUCUAGUGGCCUUUGAACUAGGACAUGGUGUUUUUUUCCUGCCUUCACACUCAAAUUGAAGCAUCAGUUCUUUCUUAGUCUUGAGCCUGCUGGCCUUUGGAAUGGACCACACCAUCAACUGUCCUGGUUGUCAGGCCUUUGGACUUGGGGUGGAACUAAACUAUCAGCUCUCCUGGGUCAACAGCUUGCCGACUCAUCCUGCAAAUCUUAGGACUUGCCAGCCUCCUUGAUUGCAUGACCAAUUCCUUAUAAUAAAUCUCUUCAUAUAUGUGUGA
Molecule: long non-coding RNA, 24082 nt
Organism: Homo sapiens (human)
Lineage: Eukaryota; Metazoa; Chordata; Mammalia; Primates; Hominidae
Exons: 4
Source: RefSeq, a predicted model, not a curated record